This 504-nucleotide ribosomal RNA is filed under the name uncultured bacterium. RNAcentral's name for it is "partial 16S ribosomal RNA". It matches the Rfam family "Bacterial small subunit ribosomal RNA", at positions 30 to 523 of the family's 1533-position model. The record is from RNAcentral.
AUUGAACGCUGGCGGCAUGCCUUACACAUGCAAGUCAAACGGCAGCAUGGAGAGCUUGCUCUCUGAUGGCGAGUGGCGAACGGGUGAGUAAAGCAUCGGAACGUACCGUGUAGUGGGGGAUAACGUAGCGAAAGUUACGCUAAUACCGCAUACGCACUGAGGUGGAAAGCAGGGGAUCGUAAGACCUUGCGCUAUACGAGCGGCCGAUGUCAGAUUAGCUAGUUGGUAGGGUAAAGGCCUACCAAGGCGACGAUCUGUAGCGGGUCUGAGAGGAUGAUCCGCCACACUGGGACUGAGACACGGCCCAGACUCCUACGGGAGGCAGCAGUGGGGAAUUUUGGACAAUGGGGGCAACCCUGAUCCAGCCAUGCCGCGUGAGUGAAGAAGGCCUUCGGGUUGUAAAGCUCUUUCGGCCGGGAAGAAAUCACACAGGCUAAUACCCUGUGUGGAUGACGGUACCGGCAUAAGAAGCACCGGCUAACUACGUGCCAGCAGCCGCCGUAA